Molecule: long non-coding RNA, 3530 nt
Organism: Mauremys reevesii (Reeves's turtle)
Lineage: Eukaryota; Metazoa; Chordata; Testudines; Geoemydidae
Exons: 5
Source: RefSeq, a predicted model, not a curated record
GGGUAUACCCUAAGCCCUGCUCUCUACAGAGAUGGCUGCCUAAAUCCAGACUGCCUCUGAGCAUGCCUAUUGGAUGCAUGUGAGAUAGGCAGGCAAAUGCCUAUCUUCCCCUUGUUUGUGGAUCACUCCAGGCUUAGGAGAGAGAUAGGUAUCAGGACACCUGGAGUGAGGCAGCCUUGGGCAUGCUCAGAGGCAGAAACACAGGUGCCCAGGGAAAUUUAGGCACUGAAUGAGUUUAAGUGACUACAGGAUUAGGCAGGAGUUUUGUGGAUUGCAGUGGAGCCUAAACCCCAGAUUUAGGCACCAAGUCUAGAGUUUAGGCACUAAAGUACAGUACUUUUGUGAAUCCCACCAGUGUCUGGGAGAGGGAAGGUGUAGGGAAAUACCCAGACCACCACUGCUCUAAGGGCCUGGGACUGGAAGCCUUGUAAAGUGGGUGGGGCAAGACUCUCUUCUCUCCCAACCAAGCACACAUAGGUGUCUGGCAUUACUAGACCCACCUGGGAAAGAUUAAGAGAUUGAUGACAUAACUGGGAAGGUGGGUCAAAAGGAAUGUCUAAGCCAAUCAAGAGAAAGAUGCUGCAGGGAACUCGGGGGCCGGGGGAAUGUCAGCCACCACACAGCCCCAGGAAGGACUUCUUAUGGUCAGAAAUGAAGCAUGCCCAUACCAUUAUAAAGAGACUUGCCUUGUUCAAAAGAGAGUACACUGGGAAAAGUGCACAUUUUUCAAAAUUAAAGAGGAGAGUAGAUAGCCCAACAUGGCAAGUCAGAGAAAAGGAAACUUCAAGAUAAGUCAAAGGACAAAUGUAACUAUUGGUGGGUCAGAUUGGCAGAUCCCAAUGGCAUUGCAUGAAUAAUGAAAAUUUCAAAAGUGAUCAGAACCCAACAUCUCCCAAUAAGGUACCUAAGUUACUGCCUAGAUACUAAAGAGAGCUCAGCUCCCCUUUGGAGAACAAUGGGAGCUACCGAUGCCGAGUCCCUUUGAAAAUCCGGUUCAUAGUUUCCCACGAUGUGCUAUACUGCCACGCACCCAUGCAGUUGAUGAUCAACCAGGAACCUGAGCUGAUGAUUCAAGCUUAUGGCAUGUGCCACCACACAAUCUGAGUGUUUCUUACUCAAACAACGCAAACUGAAUUUGUAAGGAUAACAAACAAAGCCACGUAGCUUGUAAACUGUCACAAAGCCUCCAGAAUCUGUGAAAUAUCUGACAGGAAAGAAUAUUUAUGGCAGUUUUGCUUGAUCCACAUUUUUAAAAUGUUUAAGAUCUAAAAGAAACACUCAGACAGAAAGUAUUCCCUUCCAGCUGGUGCAUCUUGAAACCAGUAGCCAUAGUGAACUGUCACACGUGUAACAUUGAACAGCACUAAUCACACUGUAUUUCUGGUGCUGGCAUGUUGUAGUGAGGAUGGAGUACCACAGUGAAGGUGGUGAUAUUUGUGGGUUUUCUCACCCCAUCGCUAAAGGACUUUAGUGAUCCUAUGCAUUAAUCUGUCCCUGAUGAUAGCAAAAAGAUAUCUCCCAAACAGGGUCUACUGCACCUUUACAUUGGUAAAACUGAAAGGAGAAUUUGGCCCACAGUUUGUCAGAUUUUACACAGAAUAUGCGGACAGACUAGAAUAUACCCACAUCCUGAAUCCCUAGUUCAAAUAACCUAAACUUCUGUGUAGCAAUCUGAUUACAUUUAUCCAAGAGAAGGGCACCAUAAACACCCUUCUUGGAUAGAAAGUAUUCUAUUCCCCAUUACAAAUCAAAUGUAAAGGUCAAAUUUUGGCCCUGUAUAACACAGUUGAUCCCAUUGGGUUCACAUGUGUGUAAAUUAGGACAAUAUUUGGCCUCAGUUUACUGGCUUCUUGCUUAGCUGUGAUUUAUAUUUGUCUGUCUAUUUUCCUAUUUGGGCUUUUGCACUAAAUCCAUCACCACAGUAGCUGAAAGUUGCACAAAACAUUAAAAACUAAAAAUAGACCCAUAGGCUUAAUGCUUGGCAUAACUCAAGUAGCUCAUUUUAUUAUCUGAGCAAUGAAAAAUCCCAGUGAGUCAACUUCUAAAUGUUUUCAUUGUACUAACAUGAGCACUGACAAUUAUAGUAUCCAUUUAAAAAAUUAAAACAGAAAAAUGUUUGCUUACAGAUUUUACUCCUCUUCCCAUGUGCUAAAUUUAAUCUAGUUCUGCCAGAGUGGAUUUUUGAUAACCUUGUGAAAACAGGGCUUCUGCCCGGACAAGCAAACAGACCCAUGACGAUGGGGGUGGGAGCAAGUGCAGCUCAAACAGAGUGCACAGAUAGUGCUCUCAGUGAUGAAAAUGCAAUUAAUAAUGAGUAGUGUCUGGAAAACCUCCUAGAUUAUUCAGCUGUCUUUAAUUUACCUUUCAAAGCAAACCAGGGGAAAUGACAGUUGCUUUGCAGUUUUUAAGAAGUGGCUGCUGUGACAUUAACCUAUUAUUUUCAUGAACUCUUCCACUGUUCACAACUGAUAUCAUUUGUAAUAUACACUGACAGAUAUUGCUGCACCGAGAAGCAUUCUCUCAUGUUAAUUCUAUUGGAUGCCAUGGUAUUUUCCUCAUAACCUGUAGUAUAUCAUCUCUUGGGACAAAAAUCCACCCCAUCCCGGGGGGCCAUCAUAAGACCUAUGUGUCACUUAAGCUCUAUUUGAGUACAAUUGUAAAAGUAAAAUAUACUCUCAAUCUCAUCUGCACCACUGCUACAAAGCUCAAAAUGACAAUUGGCAGAGGAGGAAAGCUACCAGCAAAGAAAUAGUUACAAUGAACUGAGUUUCUGCCUUAUGUGUUAUGUCCUCAAUCUAUUCGGUAGUAUGUCAGUAACUGGUAUAUAUUACAUUGCAUUUUCUGAACAGAAGAUGUUAGGGGAAAAUUAGGCCUAAAGCAUUCAAUCCAGAACAGCAGCUAAUAUGGCCCUGAUCUGCAAAUACUCAUGUGAGCACUCCUAUAUAUACAGCUAACACUGGAGGAUUGAGAUACAUCCUUACCUGCUUUAUUUAAUGAUUUGAUCUAAUAUUGUAAACAAAAAUGUAAAAAAACUAUGACUAUUCUUUUGGAUUUUUAAACAAAUUCACAUCCGCUGUGUUCAUGCCCUAUCUGUGUUUGCUUUUCAUGAGUACUCUAGCAAAUGAGUUUACUGGCAGGAAUAUGCUCCAACGCAAUUUCAUUGUCACUGCAUCUGAUGACAGCAAAGUCUCAUUUGCCUUUCCUUAUCUCACUGCUCAAUUGUUAUCCCCUCUCCUGCUUGUUCCUUUGGCUUUUUAUUUUUACUUUCUUCUUCUGAGCCAAUAGUCCUGAAUGUUGCCAAGACAAAAUGAAGAGGAGCUCGGUGCUGUCAUUUCUAAGUGCUACACUGGAUAGCGAACACCCGAUCCACAUUGUUUUGGUAACUAAGCGUUUGGGUUUGUUUUUGGAAUGGUCACUGCAGCUACCAAAGCAGGCUCCCAUCUCUUAUGUGUGUUACUUUUCUUCCAAAUAUACUGUAAACGUAUCCUUCAAACACAUGUUAGUGAUGUGUUUGCAUUUAAAUUCCUUUG